AAAAUGACUCUCAGCAACGGAUAUCUUGGCUCUUGCAACGAUGAAGAACGCAGCGAAAUGCGAUACCUAGUGUGAAUUGCAGAAUUCCGCGAAUCAUCGAGU
RNAcentral lists this ribosomal RNA (102 nucleotides) under Lejeunea lamacerina. Its description in RNAcentral is "partial 5.8S ribosomal RNA". It matches the Rfam family "5.8S ribosomal RNA", at positions 1 to 97 of the family's 154-position model. Rfam says of the family: 5.8S ribosomal RNA (5.8S rRNA) is a component of the large subunit of the eukaryotic ribosome. It is transcribed by RNA polymerase I as part of the 45S precursor that also contains 18S and 28S rRNA. The record is from RNAcentral. Lineage: Eukaryota; Viridiplantae; Streptophyta; Jungermanniopsida; Porellales; Lejeuneaceae.